RNAcentral lists this ribosomal RNA (4338 nucleotides) under Candidatus Giovannonibacteria bacterium GW2011_GWB1_46_20. Its description in RNAcentral is "partial 16S ribosomal RNA". The stretch from base 1300 to 3388 matches the Rfam family "Bacterial small subunit ribosomal RNA". Lineage: Bacteria; Candidatus Giovannoniibacteriota. The record is from RNAcentral.
UUGAGAGUUUGAUCCUGGCUCAGGAUGAACGCUGGCGGCGUGGAUAAGGCAUGCAAGUCAAGCGGACGCAAUUGCCAACUUUUAAUUCCUAACUUAUAAUUAGCCUAUGAAAUUAAGAUACAAAGAUUUUCAAGUCUACAAAGACUCAAAAUCUUUAGUAGUGCUGAUAUUUCGCUUAACUAGAAAAUUUCCUAAAGAAUUUUAUUAUCUUUCAGACCAAAUAAUUAGUGGAGUAAUUAAGCAGUUGGGCGGUUUCUCUAAAUUCUUAAUUAAAAAUUGAAAAUUAUAAAUUAGAAGUUGUAAGUUGGUCGUUGCGUCAGCGGCAGACGGGGUAGUAACACGUAGGAACUCACCCCAGAGACGGGCAUAACUCCGCGAAAGCGGAGCUAAUUCCCGAUAGUCCCCUCCCUUUCUUAGAGUUUGAAAAUAUUGCUAAAAAAUAAUUUAGAGUAAAUAAAUUUAGUAAAUAUAAAAUCGAGCUUUAGGAAAGGGAGGGGUAAAUCACUUAGAUUGGCUCUGGGAGAGGCCUGCGGGCUAUCAGCUAGUUGGCGGGGUAAUGGCCCACCAAGGCUACGACGGCUAGGGGGAGUGAGAGCUUGGCCCCCACCAAUGGAACUGAGAUCAAUUCGGUCUCCUCCGGCAGUAAUGCCGGAAUAAAAUUCAGCUCAUAACGGUGGAAUCUUUUGGGGGAUGUGAUAUAAUAUCCCCAUGAAGACAAUACCGUGGGAAGUCGAUGCUUCCAAGUUUUCGGAUAGUUAUAUUGCAGGUUUUCUAGAUGGUGACGGUUCAAUUGUAGCGACAGUGGAAAGGCGUCCCGAAAGAAGGCGUUUUCCAUACCGAGUUCGCUUAAAAAUAAAUUUCACCCAGCAUAUCCGACAUAUGGGUUUGCUGGCUGGAAUACAGAAAUUUUUAAAUGACAUCGGUUCGUUACGCAAAACAUCAAUGCAUAAUCUUGCGGAAUUGGUAAUUCAAGACCGCAAAGAAGUACGAGAAUUACUUAAAAGGCUGUUACCGUUUCUUAUUUUAAAAGAACGGCAAGCCAAAAUUAUGCUAGCUGUCAUAGAAAUCUACGACAAAGCAACCGUGAAAAUUCGUAGUUCAAUAUCCGAAAAGGAGUUUGCAAAAAUUUUAUCAUUAGUGCGCGAGAUUAGAAAUCUAAAUUCUCGCACUGGCGGCAAAAUUCAACUCUGAAGCAUUUGACCCCGUAACGACUUAUCUCGAAAAAAUCGGUGCUAAUUUUUGGAAAAAAGAAGAGCCUACCUUCUUGACUCCAAAAAUUAGCACCGAUUCUAGAGAUGGAGUUAUCAUUUUUUAAUGAUAGCUAAGACGCUGACCCCUAAUUUGCAAUUAGGGUGAAGGUAUAGUCUGUACCAUUAGUGAUAAUGGAUAAAUACGACGGUCCAUACACCUACGGGUGGCAGCAGCCGAGAAUAUUCGACAAUGGGCGAAAGCCUGAUCGAGCGACGCCGCGUGCAGGAGGAAGUCCUUCGGGACGUAAACUGCUUUUUUAGGGGAGGAACGAAAGUGACUGUACCCUAAGAAUAAGGGCUUGCUAACCUCGUGCCAGCAGCCGCGGUAAUACGAGGAGCCCGAGCGUUAUCCGGAUUUACUGGGCGUAAAGGGUGUGUAGGGGGUUUUGUUAGUCUUCUGUUAAAAUCCGACGCUUAACGUCGGAGCUGCGGGAGAAACGGCAAAACUUAGAGUGUGCCAUAGGCAAGCGGAACUCACGGUGUAGGGGUGAAAUCCGUUGAUAUCGUGGGGAACACCAAAGGCGAAGGCAGCUUGCUGGGGCACAACUGACCCUGAAACACGAAAGCGUGGGGAUCAAAAAGGAUUAAGAGUGGCCACAAACAAGGAUACGAUGUAAAAAAUCGUAGGUGGCGCUAGUCCCCAUGCGCAGAGAUAUGCGCAUGGUUAAAAAAUUCAACUAUAUGCUGGAAAAUCCGAGUAUCUUUAAGUACUGCGAUUUAUCGCAGUGAAAAUCUUAAAGUGCGGACAAUCAGCAGGAAACUUCAAAAAGAACUAUUACUAAGAAAGGAGUGAAAACUAAUGCGUAAAAUAAAGAAGAGACCAAAGCGGAAGAUGAGACAGAAAAUGGAACGUACGGAAAGCAUUGAGAAUAGAUUCUCAAUAUAUUUUCAAGCUUGGGAUUCCAUACUCAAAGCGCUAAAGCCGCAAAAGGAACCAAAAGGCGGCUAUGUACGCAGUUCAGAAUACGAUCAUUGGUAAAGUUUUUAUUGAAGAAUCCUCAGAGACUAUACGUUGAACACAAGUUAAAUAAAUGGGCGAACGAGUUAAAACUUUAGUAGCCCAAGUAUUUUUCUUAUGAUGAUAUAGUCCGAACUCGCCAGCGAUGGCGAGAGACCGGCAGAAAUGUCCGGUCCAACUCAAGAACCCGCCAAAAGCUAACGCAUUUAGGCGGGCAAGUCGGUGCUAAUUUUUGGAAAAAAAAGAGGUUAUUUGUUUGACCUCUGAUUGAGAUAUGUCUUUAGCCAGAAUUUCCAGUUGAUCAUGACAUAGAAAACCAAUACGACAAGGAUGGCCUUACCUACUAUAAUGGGAAAUUCAUACAUAUAUUGUCCUCCUUCUGAUUAAAGUCUAGCAUAGAGACAUAUUUUUAUCAAGCUCUAAUCUUGACCCCGCAAAAAAGAGCGGGGCAGGCUCCAAAAAUUAGCACCGAUUAUCAAAUCUUGAGCACUUGGGUGUCCGACACCCAAGUUAGUAACAAAAUGUAGAUACCCUUGUAGUCCACGCCCUAAACGAUGAUGACUAGCCAUUGGAAGUAUCGACCCUUCGAGUGGCGAAGCUAACGCGUUAAGUCAUCCGCCUGGGAAGUACGAACGCAAGUUUAAAACUCAAAGGAAUAGACGGGGACUCGCACAAGCGGUGGAGCAUGUGGUUCAAUUCGAUGGUAAACGAAAAACCUCACCAGGGCUUGAAAUUCCGACGAUAAGUCCCGUGAAAGCGGGAUGUCUCACAAGGACGUCGGAACAGGUGCUGCAUGGCUGUCGUCAGUUCGUGGCUUGAGCUGUUCCCUUAAGUGGGGUAACGAACGCAACCCCUGCCCCGUGUUAUACGUGUCACGGGGGACUACUCUGAUUUUCGGAGGGGAAGGUGGGGAUGACGCCAAGUCAGCAUGGCCCUCUGAUGCCCUGGGCUACACACGUGCUACAAUGGGACGUACAAUGGGCCGCAAUACCGAGAGGUGGAGCUAAUCCCUUAAAACGUCCCCCAGUUCAGAUUGAGGUCUGCAACUCGACCUCAUGAAGACGGAAUCGCUAGUAAUCGCAGGUCAGCUAUACUGCGGUGAAUACGUUCUCGAGUCUUGUACUCACAAAUAAAUGCGCCCGGCAGCGCAUAGUUCUAAGUGGUUAAAAUCCACUCUUUAUCAUUCGUCGUGAUAAAUGUAGCAGAAAGAUAGGUCCAACUCCGUAAGGAAUGGACUGAAGGAUCCGGAUGCAAAACACAGCCUACAAAAUUAAAAGCCGCGCUGACCUAUCGGGGGGUGGUGAGGAUGGGGAAAGCGCAAAAAAGGCUUUGUAGGAUGUAUUGGAACAGAAUUAUGCGUGACCCGGGGAGACCCAGUUUUCCACAUGGCAGUGGCUACAUUGAAUUGUCAAAUGGCAAUUCAAUAUGUAUUAUAUGUACAUGCAUCAGCCGAAGGAAAUUGGGAGUCAGCUGCGUCGUAGUAUCGCGCUUUUUCAUAAGAAAAACGCGAGAAGGACAAAACCAAGCAUGUUAUCUGCCGAUUAUAUUGUUGGUUUAACGGACGGCGAGGGAAGUUUUACUAUUUAUCUGCUUCCGCCAAAAAAAGAGCACGGCUCUGUGAAUUAUAGAGUGCAGUGCCGCUACUAUAUCAAGAUGCGGGAAGACGAGCUUCCUCUUCUUCUGAAAGUACAGCGAUUUUGGGGGUGCGGGAAGAUUUACUUUCAACGCGAAUAUAGGAAAAAUCAACGAGAUAAUUAUCGAUUCGAAAUAUUCAAUUAUACUCUUCUGAAAAGAGUAGUAGUGCCUUUUUUCAAACAGCAUCCGUUAGAAAGUAAGCGGAUCAAAGAUUUUGAGCUUUUUUGCAAAAUUCUUGAUCUUGCUAUUACAAAAGCGCAUCGUACUAAAAAAGGGCUUCAGAAAAUCAUUAAAUUGAAAUCGCAGAUGCAUGCUUAGGGCUCGCGUAGUGCGGGAAAUUCGCUCGCUACGUGGGAACGUGAAAUAUGCCAAUUAUCACAUUCGCCCGUCAACUCAAGGGAGCCGGGAGUAGGUGAACCCCGGUCUUGCAUCGGGGCAGCCUAAGCUCGGUGACAGGGAGUAAGUCGUAACAAGGCACGGCUAGCGGAAGCUGGU